Long non-coding RNA from Acinonyx jubatus (cheetah), 421 nucleotides. RefSeq lists it as uncharacterized. The record is from RefSeq and is a predicted model, not a curated record. NCBI's taxonomy places the organism in Eukaryota, Metazoa, Chordata, Mammalia, Carnivora, Felidae. The transcript has 2 exons.
AUGACCUGCCUGAGCUGUUUUGGCUCAGUGUGGAGCCUGCUUGGGAUUCUCUCUCUCCCUCUCUCUCUCCGCCCCUCCCCGUUCACACGCUCUCACUCUUCCUCUCAAAAUAAAUAAAUAAACAUUUAGAAAGUAUCAGUAAUACAAAACAAAUUCAAAUAAACUAUACUAGAUAAAACACUGUUUUUCUUUUAUUCACUCUAUAGGAAAAGAAUAAAAUUUUACUCAUACCAAGAUACAGAGAGCUUAUAGAUAUUUACAAAGUAUAAAGGUAUGUCAGAAUUCAUCUGGAACAACAAAGAAAUGAUUUCAAGUCUCUUGGUGCCAAAGCUAAUGCUUAAUUCAUUAUUCCUCAUUGGCUACAUACAGGAGAAGACAGGCUCACUGCCAACACCAUGACAGAUAAUAAACCAAAUAUAAG